Molecule: ribosomal RNA, 410 nt
Filed under: bacterium enrichment culture clone ALO1_GLFRUDD03GQDRQ
Lineage: Bacteria
Description: bacterial SSU rRNA
Rfam family: Bacterial small subunit ribosomal RNA
Source: RNAcentral
GAGUUUGAUCGUGGCUCAGAUUGAACGCUGGCGGCAUGCCUUACACAUGCAAGUCGAACGGCAGCACGGGAGCUUGCUCCUGGUGGCGAGUGGCGAACGGGUGAGUAAUGCAUCGGAACGUAUCCUGGAGUGGGGGAUAACGUAGCGAAAGUUACGCUAAUACCGCAUAUUCUGUGAGCAAGAAAGCGGGGGACCUUCGGGCCUCGCGCUCUUGGAGCGGCCGAUGUCGGAUUAGCUAGUUGGUGAGGUAAAGGCUCACCAAGGCGACGAUCCGUAGCAGGUCUGAGAGGAUGAUCUGCCACACUGGAACUGAGACACGGUCCAGACUCCUACGGGAGGCAGCAGUGGGAAUUUUGGACAAUGGGGGCAACCCUGAUCCAGCCAUGCCGCGUGAGUGAAGAAGGCCUCGG